Molecule: ribosomal RNA, 464 nt
Filed under: uncultured bacterium
Lineage: Bacteria
Description: SSU rRNA
Rfam family: Bacterial small subunit ribosomal RNA
Source: RNAcentral
AGGAUUAACGCUGGCGGCGUGCCUAACACAUGCAAGUCGAACGAGGUAGCAAUACCUAGUGGCAGACGGGUGAGUAACGCGUGGUCAACCUACCGUUGAGUGGGGGAUAACUAGCCGAAAGGUUAGCUAAUACCGCAUACGAGUCUCGGGGGCAUCCCUGGGUCUUAAAAGGAGCAAUCCGCUCGAUGACGGGACCGCGUCCCAUUAGCUAGAUGGUGGGGUAAUGGCCUACCAUGGCUCCGAUGGGUAGCUGGUUUGAGAGAGCGACCAGCCACACUGGGACUGAGAAACGGCCCAGACUCCUACGGGAGGCAGCAGUGAGGAAUCUUCCGCAAUGGGGGCAACCCUGACGGAGCAACGCCGCGUGCAGGAGGACGCUUUUCGGAGUGUAAACUGCUUUUCUCGAGGAAGAACCGGACGGUACUCGAGGAAGAAGCCCCGGCUAACUACGCGCCAGCAGCCGC